RNAcentral lists this ribosomal RNA (546 nucleotides) under Providencia sp. Its description in RNAcentral is "bacterial SSU rRNA". It matches the Rfam family "Bacterial small subunit ribosomal RNA", at positions 883 to 1429 of the family's 1533-position model. Lineage: Bacteria; Pseudomonadati; Pseudomonadota; Gammaproteobacteria; Enterobacterales; Morganellaceae. The record is from RNAcentral.
CGGCCGCAAGGUUAAAACUCAAAUGAAUUGACGGGGGCCCGCACAAGCGGUGGAGCAUGUGGUUUAAUUCGAUGCAACGCGAAGAACCUUACCUACUCUUGACAUCCAGAGAAUUUAGCAGAGAUGCUUUGGUGCCUUCGGGAACUCUGAGACAGGUGCUGCAUGGCUGUCGUCAGCUCGUGUUGUGAAAUGUUGGGUUAAGUCCCGCAACGAGCGCAACCCUUAUCCUUUGUUGCCAGCGAUUCGGUCGGGAACUCAAAGGAGACUGCCGGUGAUAAACCGGAGGAAGGUGGGGAUGACGUCAAGUCAUCAUGGCCCUUACGAGUAGGGCUACACACGUGCUACAAUGGCGUAUACAAAGAGAAGCGACCUCGCGAGAGCAAGCGGAACUCAUAAAGUACGUCGUAGUCCGGAUUGGAGUCUGCAACUCGACUCCAUGAAGUCGGAAUCGCUAGUAAUCGUAGAUCAGAAUGCUACGGUGAAUACGUUCCCGGGCCUUGUACACACCGCCCGUCACACCAUGGGAGUGGGUUGCAAAAGAAGUAG